RNAcentral lists this small RNA (95 nucleotides) under Salmonella enterica. Its description in RNAcentral is "partial RtT sRNA". It matches the Rfam family "RtT RNA", at positions 1 to 94 of the family's 130-position model. Rfam says of the family: This family represents a bacterial cis-regulatory element known as RtT RNA. The exact function of RtT is unknown although it is thought that it may be involved in changing the cellular response in relation to amino acid starvation. Lineage: Bacteria; Pseudomonadati; Pseudomonadota; Gammaproteobacteria; Enterobacterales; Enterobacteriaceae. The record is from RNAcentral. RNAcentral also lists the same sequence under 1 other name.
UAUCUCUCCGUACGGGGAAGGAUGAGAAGCUUCGACUAAGGUUCGAUUCGAGCGCAGCGAGAAAGCGUUGCCGCAGGCAACGACCCGAAGGGCGA